GCAGUCGAGCGGACAGAUGGGAGCUUGCUCCCUGAUGUUAGCGGCGGACGGGUGAGUAACACGUGGGUAACCUGCCUGUAAGACUGGGAUAACUCCGGGAAACCGGGGCUAAUACCGGAUGCUUGUUUGAACCGCAUGGUUCAAACAUAAAAGGUGGCUUCGGCUACCACUUACAGAUGGACCCGCGGCGCAUUAGCUAGUUGGUGAGGUAAUGGCUCACCAAGGCAACGAUGCGUAGCCGACCUGAGAGGGUGAUCGGCCACACUGGGACUGAGACACGGCCCAGACUCCUACGGGAGGCAGCAGUAGGGAAUCUUCCGCAAUGGACGAAAGUCUGACGGAGCAACGCCGCGUGAGUGAUGAAGGUUUUCGGAUCGUAAAGCUCUGUUGUUAGGGAAGAACAAGUACCGUUCGAAUAGGGCGGUACCUUGACGGUACCUAACCAGAAAGCCACGGCUAACUACGUGCCAGCAGCCGCGGUAAUACGUAGGUGGCAAGCGUUGUCCGGAAUUAUUGGGCGUAAAGGGCUCGCAGGCGGUUCCUUAAGUCUGAUGUGAAAGCCCCCGGCUCAACCGGGGAGGGUCAUUGGAAACUGGGGAACUUGAGUGCAGAAGAGGAGAGUGAAUUCCACGUGUAGCGGUGAAAUGCGUAGAGAUGUGGAGGAACACCAGUGGCGAAGGCGACUCUCUGGUCUGUAACUGACGCUGAGAGCGAAAGCUGGGGA
Molecule: ribosomal RNA, 724 nt
Filed under: Bacillus sp. (in: firmicutes)
Lineage: Bacteria; Bacillati; Bacillota; Bacilli; Caryophanales; Bacillaceae
Description: bacterial SSU rRNA
Rfam family: Bacterial small subunit ribosomal RNA
Source: RNAcentral